Molecule: non-coding RNA, 177 nt
Filed under: Ruminococcus sp.
Lineage: Bacteria; Bacillati; Bacillota; Clostridia; Eubacteriales; Oscillospiraceae
Description: 6S RNA
Rfam family: 6S / SsrS RNA
About the family: E. coli 6S RNA was the first non coding RNA to be sequenced, but its function was unknown until recently. It consists of 184 nucleotides that fold into an extended hairpin structure with a large single-stranded internal bulge.
Source: RNAcentral
AAGAACCUGAAAUGUUCGACACACCUGCUAUUUUGAACCUACAAUACUUUAAACGGGAUUCUUAUAUUUCUGUAAUAUGUCAGGCCUCCGUUGCAGUGGAAGACAAAAAAGCAGAUGCGGUUGCCCACCUAGCUUUGGCUAGGAGUCAAAAUACAGGACCGGCAUUUUGGGGAAACU